AUUCAAGUGACGAGUCCCAAAUAGGACGAAACGCGCGUCCUGGAU
RNAcentral lists this non-coding RNA (45 nucleotides) under Schistosoma mansoni. The record is from RNAcentral. Lineage: Eukaryota; Metazoa; Platyhelminthes; Trematoda; Strigeidida; Schistosomatidae.